AUUGAACGCUGGCGGCAUGCCUUACACAUGCAAGUCGAACGGCAGCACGGAGCUUGCUCUGGUGGCGAGUGGCGAACGGGUGAGUGAUAUAUCGGAACGUACCCUAGAGUGGGGGAUAACGUAGCGAAAGUUACGCUAAUACCGCAUACGAUCUAAGGAUGAAAGUGGGGGAUCGCAAGACCUCAUGCUCGUGGAGCGGCCGAUAUCUGAUUAGCUAGUUGGUAGGGUAAAAGCCUACCAAGGCAUCGAUCAGUAGCUGGUCUGAGAGGACGACCAGCCACACUGGAACUGAGACACGGUCCAGACUCCUACGGGAGGCAGCAGUGGGGAAUUUUGGACAAUGGGCGAAAGCCUGAUCCAGCAAUGCCGCGUGAGUGAAGAAGGCCUUCGGGUUGUAAAGCUCUUUUGUCAGGGAAGAAACGGUGAGAGCUAAUAUCUCUUGCUAAUGACGGUACCUGAAGAAUAAGCACCGGCUAACUACGUGCCAGCAGCCGCGGUAAUACGUAGGGUGCAAGCGUUAAUCGGAAUUACUGGGCGUAAAGCGUGCGCAGGCGGUUUUGUAAGUCUAAUGUGAAAUCCCCGGGCUCAACCUGGGAAUUGCAUUGGAGACUGCAAGGCUAGAAUCUGGCAGAGGGGGGUAGAAUUCCACGUGUAGCAGUGAAAUGCGUAGAUAUGUGGAGGAACACCGAUGGCGAAGGCAGCCCCCUGGGUCAAGAUUGACGCUCAUGCACGAAAGCGUGGGGAGCAAACAGGAUUAGAUACCCUGGUAGUCCACGCCCUAAACGAUGUCUACUAGUUGUCGGGUCUUAAUUGACUUGGUAACGCAGCUAACGCGUGAAGUAGACCGCCUGGGGAGUACGGUCGCAAGAUUAAAACUCAAAGGAAUUGACGGGGACCCGCACAAGCGGUGGAUGAUGUGGAUUAAUUCGAUGCAACGCGAAAAACCUUACCUACCCUUGACAUGGCUGGAAUCCUUGAGAGAUCAGGGAGUGCUCGAAAGAGAACCAGUACACAGGUGCUGCAUGGCUGUCGUCAGCUCGUGUCGUGAGAUGUUGGGUUAAGUCCCGCAACGAGCGCAACCCUUGUCAUUAGUUGCUACGAAAGGGCACUCUAAUGAGACUGCCGGUGACAAACCGGAGGAAGGUGGGGAUGACGUCAAGUCCUCAUGGCCCUUAUGGGUAGGGCUUCACACGUCAUACAAUGGUACAUACAGAGCGCCGCCAACCCGCGAGGGGGAGCUAAUCGCAGAAAGUGUAUCGUAGUCCGGAUUGUAGUCUGCAACUCGACUGCAUGAAGUUGGAAUCGCUAGUAAUCGCGGAUCAGCAUGUCGCGGUGAAUACGUUCCCGGGUCU
This 1352-nucleotide ribosomal RNA is filed under the name uncultured bacterium. RNAcentral's name for it is "bacterial SSU rRNA". It matches the Rfam family "Bacterial small subunit ribosomal RNA", at positions 28 to 1381 of the family's 1533-position model. The record is from RNAcentral.